GACGAACGCUGGCGGCGCGCUUAACACAUGCAAGUCGAACGGAAAGGCCUGCUUUCCCUUGUGGAUUGCGGGUACUCGAGUGGCGAACGGGUGAGUAACACGUGAGUGAUCUGCCCCCAACUUGGGUAUAGGCCUGGGAAACUGGGUCUAAUUCCCGAUAGGACUGCAGGGUGGUGCCUGUGGUGGCAAACGAUUUUCUAGUGGUUGGGGAUGAGCUCGCGGCCUAUCAGCUUGUUGGUGGGGUAAUGGCCUACCAAGGCGGCGGCGGGUAGCCGGCCUGAGAGGGGGGACGGCCACAUUGGGACUGGGAUACGGCCCAGACUCCUACGGGAGGCAGCAGUGGGGAAUAUGGCACAAUGGGCGGAAGCCUGAUGCAGCGACGCCGCGUGGGGGAUGACGGCCUUCGGGUUGUAAACUCCUUUCGACCGCGAGGAAGCCACCUGGUUGGAAGGGUGGUGACGGUAGUGGUAGAAGAAGCACCGGCUAACUACGUG
RNAcentral lists this ribosomal RNA (494 nucleotides) under uncultured bacterium. RNAcentral's name for it is "partial 16S ribosomal RNA". It matches the Rfam family "Bacterial small subunit ribosomal RNA", at positions 28 to 507 of the family's 1533-position model. The record is from RNAcentral.